This 91-nucleotide small RNA is filed under the name Serratia marcescens. Its description in RNAcentral is "partial RtT sRNA". It matches the Rfam family "RtT RNA", at positions 1 to 93 of the family's 130-position model. Rfam says of the family: This family represents a bacterial cis-regulatory element known as RtT RNA. The exact function of RtT is unknown although it is thought that it may be involved in changing the cellular response in relation to amino acid starvation. Lineage: Bacteria; Pseudomonadati; Pseudomonadota; Gammaproteobacteria; Enterobacterales; Yersiniaceae. The record is from RNAcentral.
AACGCUCCGCACCGGGGAAGGAUGAGAAGCUUCGACUAAGGUUCGAGUCUCACGCAGUGAGACAACGCGCUUUAGCGCGGCCCGCAGGGUG